GGCCAUGUCUCGGCGAAACUCCGUUUCCCGGACGAUUACUGAAGUUAAGCGACGUCGAGUUGGUCAGUAGCUAGAUGGGUGACCGCUUGGGAAUACCAGGUACUGCAGG
Molecule: ribosomal RNA, 109 nt
Filed under: Acanthosepion pharaonis
Lineage: Eukaryota; Metazoa; Mollusca; Cephalopoda; Sepiida; Sepiidae
Source: RNAcentral